CAACGCCGCGUGGAGGACGAAGGCCUUCUCGGUUGUAAACUCCUUUCGGCAGGGACGAAAAAAAAUGACGGUACCUGCAGAAGAAGCCCCGGCCAACUACGUGC
Molecule: ribosomal RNA, 104 nt
Filed under: uncultured bacterium
Lineage: Bacteria
Description: partial 16S ribosomal RNA
Rfam family: Bacterial small subunit ribosomal RNA
Source: RNAcentral